AUACUUCUGAACCUUUGUAAC
Non-coding RNA from Caenorhabditis elegans, 21 nucleotides. Lineage: Eukaryota; Metazoa; Nematoda; Chromadorea; Rhabditida; Rhabditidae. The record is from Ensembl.